This 134-nucleotide ribosomal RNA is filed under the name uncultured bacterium. Its description in RNAcentral is "partial 16S ribosomal RNA". It matches the Rfam family "Bacterial small subunit ribosomal RNA", at positions 355 to 507 of the family's 1533-position model. The record is from RNAcentral.
CUAGGAAUCUUGGGAAUGGGCGAAAGCCUGACCCAGCAACGCCGCGUGGGCGAUGAAGGCCUUCGGGUCGUAAAGCCCUUUUGUGGGGGACGAUGAUGACGGUACCCCACGAAUAAGCCACGGCUAACUACGUG